This 204-nucleotide long non-coding RNA is filed under the name Capsella rubella. Its description in RNAcentral is "long non-coding RNA (CRUB_LNC002185)". The record is from RNAcentral. Lineage: Eukaryota; Viridiplantae; Streptophyta; Magnoliopsida; Brassicales; Brassicaceae.
AAUGAAUGAUGCCAAGUCGAUGCGUGGCUGUCAAAGUAGAUAGCCUCUGUCUUCACUUUCAUCUCCUCCGGCAUGAAGUCCACCUCAAACCAAUCCUCUGCUCAUGACAAUCCUGCUGAAUCUGUUUCUCCGUCGUCUUCAGUGGAUCUACUCACCGCCUCCAUAAGAUCCGCCAUAUGUUUCAUCGUCUCCUGAUGUCUCUCC